Molecule: long non-coding RNA, 409 nt
Filed under: Nicotiana benthamiana
Lineage: Eukaryota; Viridiplantae; Streptophyta; Magnoliopsida; Solanales; Solanaceae
Description: long non-coding RNA (NBEN_LNC021355)
Source: RNAcentral
CUGAUGCUCGAAAACCCCGAAGAAAGAGAAGACCAAAGAAGAAAAAACAACAGGUUGUUACUUUUGAAUCCAAUGUGGCUUUUCCUUCCUGAUUAUCAUUAUGCAUGCUCAAUUUCAAGCACACCUGGCAAAUUUAUUAGUUAACUAUGUCCUACUUUGGCCUUUUUUCCUUCCUGAAUAUCGUUAUGUAUACUCAAUUGCAAGCACACUUGGCCAACUUAUUUGUUAACUAUGUCCUACUUUGGCCUUGUGACACCUAACAUACUGGAGAACGCCCCAAAAACAUGAGGCUAAAAAGUGAACAAUAAGUUGAAGUCUUCAAUGUUGGUAAAAUUUUGAGAAUAAUCCUGCUCAAUUUAUGUUGGGUUCUAAACAUGAACGCGGCACACAGAGUCAGAGGUGGUGAACU